RNAcentral lists this ribosomal RNA (1357 nucleotides) under Arthrobacter sp. RNAcentral's name for it is "bacterial SSU rRNA". It matches the Rfam family "Bacterial small subunit ribosomal RNA", at positions 22 to 1379 of the family's 1533-position model. The record is from RNAcentral. Lineage: Bacteria; Bacillati; Actinomycetota; Actinomycetes; Micrococcales; Micrococcaceae.
GCUCAGGAUGAACGCUGGCGGCGUGCUUAACACAUGCAAGUCGAACGAUGAACCUCGCUUGCGGGGGGAUUAGUGGCGAACGGGUGAGUAACACGUGAGUAACCUGCCCUUAACUCUGGGAUAAGCCUUGGAAACGGGGUCUAAUACUGGAUAUUGACUUUACCUCGCAUGGGGUUUAGUUGAAAGAUUUAUUGGUUUUGGAUGGACUCGCGGCCUAUCAGCUUGUUGGUGAGGUAAUGGCUCACCAAGGCGACGACGGGUAGCCGGCCUGAGAGGGUGACCGGCCACACUGGGACUGAGACACGGCCCAGACUCCUACGGGAGGCAGCAGUGGGGAAUAUUGCACAAUGGGCGAAAGCCUGAUGCAGCGACGCCGCGUGAGGGAUGACGGCCUUCGGGUUGUAAACCUCUUUCAGUAGGGAACAAGGCCAGCAUUUUUGUUGGUUGAGGGUACUUGCAGAAGAAGCGCCGGCUAACUACGUGCCAGCAGCCGCGGUAAUACGUAGGGCGCAAGCGUUAUCCGGAAUUAUUGGGCGUAAAGAGCUCGUAGGCGGUUUGUCGCGUCUGCCGUGAAAGUCCGGGGCUCAACUCCGGAUCUGCGGUGGGUACGGGCAGACUAGAGUGAUGUAGGGGAGACUGGAAUUCCUGGUGUAGCGGUGAAAUGCGCAGAUAUCAGGAGGAACACCGAUGGCGAAGGCAGGUCUCUGGGCAUUAACUGACGCUGAGGAGCGAAAGCAUGGGGAGCGAACAGGAUUAGAUACCCUGGUAGUCCAUGCCGUAAACGUUGGGCACUAGGUGUGGGGGACAUUCCACGUUUUCCGCGCCGUAGCUAACGCAUUAAGUGCCCCGCCUGGGGAGUACGGCCGCAAGGCUAAAACUCAAAGGAAUUGACGGGGGCCCGCACAAGCGGCGGAGCAUGCGGAUUAAUUCGAUGCAACGCGAAGAACCUUACCAAGGCUUGACAUGAACUGGAAAUACCUGGAAACAGGUGCCCCGCUUGCGGUCGGUUUACAGGUGGUGCAUGGUUGUCGUCAGCUCGUGUCGUGAGAUGUUGGGUUAAGUCCCGCAACGAGCGCAACCCUCGUUCUAUGUUGCCAGCACGUUAUGGUGGGGACUCAUAGGAGACUGCCGGGGUCAACUCGGAGGAAGGUGAGGACGACGUCAAAUCAUCAUGCCCCUUAUGUCUUGGGCUUCACGCAUGCUACAAUGGCCGGUACAAUGGGUUGCGAUACUGUGAGGUGGAGCUAAUCCCAAAAAGCCGGUCUCAGUUCGGAUUGGGGUCUGCAACUCGACCCCAUGAAGUCGGAGUCGCUAGUAAUCGCAGAUCAGCAACGCUGCGGUGAAUACGUUCCCGGGC